CUGUGCAAAGGUAGCAUAAUAAUUAGUUUUUUAAUUGAAGGCUUGUAUGAAUGGUCUGACAAAGAAAAAGCUGUCUUUAAUUUUAUUUUUGAAAUUAACUUUUAAGUGAAAAGGCUUAAAUAAUUUAAAGGGACGAUAAGACCCUAUAAAUCUUUAUACUAAUUUGUUAUUUAAUAAAUUAAUAUUUCUGUUAAGAAAAUAAAUAAACAAAUAGUAUUUUAUUGGGGUGAUAAGAAUACAAAAAUAACUGUUCUUAAAAUAAACAAAGUUAUUUGUUAAUAAAAAAUAAAUUAAUAGAUCCUUUAUAAAGAUAAAAAGUUUAAGUUACUUUAGGGAUAACAGCGUUAUUUUUUUUGAGAGUUCUUAUCGAAAAAAAAGUUUGCGACCUCGAUGUUGAAUUAAAAUUUUCUUUACGAUGUAGAAGUUGUAUGAGAGAGUCUGUUCGACUUUUGAAAUUUU
This 459-nucleotide ribosomal RNA is filed under the name Paramunida aurora. RNAcentral's name for it is "partial 16S ribosomal RNA". It matches the Rfam family "Bacterial large subunit ribosomal RNA", at positions 1946 to 2597 of the family's 2925-position model. Lineage: Eukaryota; Metazoa; Arthropoda; Malacostraca; Decapoda; Munididae. The record is from RNAcentral.